This 253-nucleotide ribosomal RNA is filed under the name uncultured bacterium. Its description in RNAcentral is "partial 16S ribosomal RNA". It matches the Rfam family "Bacterial small subunit ribosomal RNA", at positions 524 to 776 of the family's 1533-position model. The record is from RNAcentral.
UACGGAGGGUGCUAGCGUUGUUCGGAAUUACUGGGCGUAAAGCGCGUGUAGGCGGCCCGCUAAGUCUGAUGUGAAAGCCCGGGGCUCACCCCCGGAAGUGCAUUGGAGACUGGCGGGCUCGAGUCCCGGAGAGGAGGGUGGAAUUCCUGGUGUAGCGGUGAAAUUCGUAGAUAUCGGGAGGAACACCGGUGGCGAAGGCGGCGAUCUGGACGAUGACUGACGCUGAGACGCGAAAGCGUGGGGAGCAAACAGG